RNAcentral lists this transfer RNA (73 nucleotides) under Parcubacteria group bacterium. RNAcentral's name for it is "tRNA-Lys". It matches the Rfam family "tRNA". Rfam says of the family: Transfer RNA (tRNA) molecules are approximately 80 nucleotides in length. Their secondary structure includes four short double-helical elements and three loops (D, anti-codon, and T loops). The record is from RNAcentral.
CCGCUCAUAGCUCAGCCGGUAGAGCAGCUCCCUCUUAAGGAGAUGGUCGGGGGUUCGAUUCCCUCUGAGCGGA